UACGAAGGGGACUAGCGUUGUUCGGAUUACCGGGGGUUAAGGGGACGUAGGGGGAUUUGUAAGGCAGGGGUGAAAUCCCGGGGCUCAACCUCGGAACUGCCUUUGAUACUGCAAGUCUCGAGUCCGAUAGAGGUGGGUGGAAUUCCUAGUGUAGAGGUGAAAUUCGUAGAUAUCAGGAGGAACACCGGUGGCGAAGGCGGUUCUCUGGGCUGCACCUGACGCUGAACUGCGAAAGCCAGGGGAGCGAACGGG
RNAcentral lists this ribosomal RNA (252 nucleotides) under uncultured bacterium. Its description in RNAcentral is "partial 16S ribosomal RNA". It matches the Rfam family "Bacterial small subunit ribosomal RNA", at positions 524 to 776 of the family's 1533-position model. The record is from RNAcentral.